This 465-nucleotide ribosomal RNA is filed under the name Vreelandella stevensii. RNAcentral describes it as "partial 16S ribosomal RNA". It matches the Rfam family "Bacterial small subunit ribosomal RNA", at positions 338 to 795 of the family's 1533-position model. The record is from RNAcentral. Lineage: Bacteria; Pseudomonadati; Pseudomonadota; Gammaproteobacteria; Oceanospirillales; Halomonadaceae.
CCUACGGGGGGCAGCAGUGGGGAAUAUUGGACAAUGGGCGAAAGCCUGAUCCAGCCAUGCCGCGUGUGUGAAGAAGGCCUUCGGGUUGUAAAGCACUUUCAGUGGGGAAGAAAGCCUUGGGGCUAAUACCCUCGAGGAAGGACAUCACCCACAGAAGAAGCACCGGCUAACUCCGUGCCAGCAGCCGCGGUAAUACGGAGGGUGCGAGCGUUAAUCGGAAUUACUGGGCGUAAAGCGCGCGUAGGCGGUCUGAUAAGCCGGUUGUGAAAGCCCCGGGCUCAACCUGGGAACGGCAUCCGGAACUGUCAGGCUAGAGUGAAGGAGAGGAAGGUAGAAUUCCCGGUGUAGCGGUGAAAUGCGUAGAGAUCGGGAGGAAUACCAGUGGCGAAGGCGGCCUUCUGGACUGACACUGACGCUGAGGUGCGAAAGCGUGGGUAGCAAACAGGAUUAGAUACCCUAGUAGUC